This 450-nucleotide ribosomal RNA is filed under the name uncultured Diversispora. Its description in RNAcentral is "SSU rRNA". It matches the Rfam family "Eukaryotic small subunit ribosomal RNA", at positions 569 to 1022 of the family's 1831-position model. Lineage: Eukaryota; Fungi; Glomeromycota; Glomeromycetes; Diversisporales; Diversisporaceae. The record is from RNAcentral.
AGCAGCCGCGGUAAUUCCAGCUCCAAUAGCGUAUAUUAAAGUUGUUGCAGUUAAAAAGCUCGUAGUUGAACUUCGAGAUUUAUUCAUUGGUCAGGCUUAAUUGUUUGAACUGGUGAGAUAAAUCUUUACCUUCUGAGGAACUUUCAUGCCAUUUAUUUGGUGUGAUUGGAAAUCAGGACUAUUACUUUGAAAAAUUAGAGUGUUUAAAGCAGGCUAACGUCUGAAUACAUUAGCAUGGAAUAAUGAAAUAGGACGGACUGGUUCUAUUUUGUUGGUUUCUAGGAUCACCGUAAUGAUUAAUAGGGAUAGUUGGGGGCAUUAGUAUUCAAUUGUCAGAGAUGAAAUUCUUGGAUUUAUUGAAGACUAACUACUGCGAAAGCAUUUGCCAAGGAUGUUUUCAUUAAUCAAGAACGAAAGUUAGGGGAUCGAAGACGAUCAGAUACCGUCGUA